RNAcentral lists this ribosomal RNA (406 nucleotides) under uncultured bacterium. RNAcentral describes it as "partial 16S ribosomal RNA". It matches the Rfam family "Bacterial small subunit ribosomal RNA", at positions 29 to 526 of the family's 1533-position model. The record is from RNAcentral.
AUUGAACGCUGGCGGCAGGCCUAACACAUGCAAGUCGAACGAGUGGCGGACGGGUGAGUAAUGUCUGGGAAACUGCCUGAUGGAGGGGGAUAACUACUGGAAACGGUAGCUAAUACCGCAUACCAUCAGAUGUGCCCAGAUGGGAUUAGCUUGUUGGUGGGGUAACGGCUCACCAGGGCGACGAUCCCUAGCUGGUCUGAGAGGAUGACCAGCCACUAUGGAACAGAGACACGGUGCAGACGCCUACGGGAGGCAGCAGUGGGGAAUAUUGCACAAUGGGCGCAAGCCUGAUGCAGCCAUGCCGCGGGUGUGAAGAAGGCCUCCGGGUUGUAAAGUACUUUCAGAGCGGAGGCGUUACCCGCAGAAGAAGCACCGGCCAACGCCGGGCCAGCAGCCGCGGUAAUUC